ACGGUAAGUGUUGUAGCAAUAUAACACCAAGAGUGACGUACGGGUGCGUAACACGUAUGCAACCUACCCUUUACAGGAGGAUAGCUCGGGGAAACUCGAAUUAACCCUCCAUAAUAUCAUUGGAUGGCAUCAUCUGAUGAUUAAAACUCCGGUGGUAAAGGAUGGGCAUGCGACUGAUUAGUUAGUUGGCGGGGUAACGGCCCACCAAGACGAUGAUCAGUAGGGGACCUGAGAGGGUGAUCCCCCACACUGGCACUGAGAUACGGGCCAGACUCCUACGGGAGGCAGCAGUAGGGAAUAUUGGUCAAUGGAUGCAAGUCUGAACCAGCCAUGCCGCGUGCAGGAAGAAGGCCUUCUGGGUUGUAAACUGCUUUUGCCAGGGGAUAAAAAUCUCAUGCGUGAGAAAUUGAAGGUACCUGGUGAAUAAGCCACGGCUAACUACGUGCCAGCAGCCGCGGUAAUACGUAGGUGGCAAGCGUUGUCCGGAUUUAUUGGGUUUAAAGGGUGCGUAGGCGGCCUUGUAAGUCAGUGGUGAAAUACUCCAGCUUAACUGGAGGGGUGCCAUUGAUACUGCAGGGCUUGAGUACAGAUGAGGUAGGCGGAAUUGACGGUGUAGCGGUGAAAUGCAUAGAUAUCGUCAAGAACUCCGAUAGCGAAGGCAGCUUACUAAGCUGUAACUGACGCUGAGGCACGAAAGUGUGGGGAUCAAACAGGAUUAGAUACCCUGGUAGUCCACACUGUAAACGUUGAUGACUCGAUGUUGGCGAUACACAGCCAGCGUCCAAGAGCAAUCGUUAAGUC
Molecule: ribosomal RNA, 801 nt
Filed under: uncultured bacterium
Lineage: Bacteria
Description: bacterial SSU rRNA
Rfam family: Bacterial small subunit ribosomal RNA
Source: RNAcentral